Molecule: non-coding RNA, 92 nt
Organism: Guyanagaster necrorhizus
Lineage: Eukaryota; Fungi; Basidiomycota; Agaricomycetes; Agaricales; Physalacriaceae
Source: the annotation of a RefSeq genome assembly
GCAUCAGUGGUGUAAUGAUUAACAUGCGGUCUUCCCAUGCGCUGCGCUCAUAAUCUGUGGCCGCGUUCGGGGUUCGAUUCCCCGCUGAUGCA